CAGUGGGCUCAGAAUCAACGCUGGCGGCGUGCCUCAGACAUGCAAGUCGAACGAUUAAGACUUCCUUCGGGAAGUGUAUAAAGUGGCGCACGGGUGAGUAACACGUAAGUAAUCUACCUUCGAGUGGGGAAUAACGUUCAGAAACGAACGCUAAUACCGGAUAGUCCCGUAAGGGUAAAGCAGCAAUGCGCUUUGAGAGGAACCUGCGUCCUAUCAGUUAGUUGGUGAGGUAAUGGCUCACCAAGACUAUGACGGGUAGCUGGUCUGAGAGGAUGAUCAGCCACAAUGGAACUGAGACACGGUCCAUACUCCUACGGGAGGCAGCAGUAAGGUAAUUUUCGCAAUGGGGAAACCCUGACGAAGCAACACCGCGUGAGGGAUGAAGGCCUUUUGGUUGUAAACUUCUUUUUUGAGGGAAUAAAUAUGAAGGUACCUCAAGAAUAAGCAUCGGCUAACUACGUG
Molecule: ribosomal RNA, 462 nt
Filed under: uncultured bacterium
Lineage: Bacteria
Description: bacterial SSU rRNA
Rfam family: Bacterial small subunit ribosomal RNA
Source: RNAcentral